GACGAACGCUGGCGGCAUGCCUAACACAUGCAAGUCGAACGGAGAAAAGGAAGCUUGCUUCUUUUUCUUAGUGGCGGACGGGUGAGUAACGCGUGAGUAACCUGCCUUUCAGAGGGGGAUAACGUUCUGAAAAGAACGCUAAUACCGCAUGAGACUACGGAGCUGCAUGGCUCAGUGGUCAAAGGAGCAAUCCGCUGAAAGAUGGACUCGCGUCCGAUUAGAUAGUUGGCGGGGUAACGGCCCACCAAGUCGACGAUCGGUAGCCGGACUGAGAGGUUGAACGGCCACAUUGGGACUGAGACACGGCCCAGACUCCUACGGGAGGCAGCAGUGAGGGAUAUUCGGCAAUGGGGGAAACCCUGACCGAGCAAUGCCGCGUGAGGGAUGACGGUUUUUCGGAUUGUAAACCUCUGUUUUUAG
This 420-nucleotide ribosomal RNA is filed under the name uncultured bacterium. RNAcentral's name for it is "bacterial SSU rRNA". It matches the Rfam family "Bacterial small subunit ribosomal RNA", at positions 28 to 442 of the family's 1533-position model. The record is from RNAcentral.